UGGGGAAUAUUGCACAAUUGGCGCAAGCCUGAUGCAGCCAUGCCGCGUGUAUGAAGAAGGCCUUCGGGUUGUAAAGUACUUUCAGCGGGGAGGAAGGGAGUAAAGUUAAUACCUUUGCUCAUUGACGUUACCCGCAGAAGAAGCACCGGCUAACUCCGUGCCAGCAGCCGCGGUAAUACGGAGGGUGCACGCGUUAAUCGGAAUUAAUGGGCGUAAAGCGAACGCAGGCGGUUUGUUAAGUCAGAUGUAAAAUCCCCGGGCUCAACCUGGGAACUGCAUCUGAUACUGGCAAGCUUGAGUCUCGUAGAGGGGGGUAGAAUUCCAGGUGUAGCGAUGAAAGGCGUGGAGAUCUGGAGGAAUACCGGUGGCGAAGGCGGCCCCCUGGACGAAGCCUGCCGCUCAGGUGCGAAAGCGUGGGGAGCAAAAAGG
This 429-nucleotide ribosomal RNA is filed under the name Chloroflexota bacterium. Its description in RNAcentral is "Chloroflexi bacterium partial 16S ribosomal RNA". It matches the Rfam family "Bacterial small subunit ribosomal RNA", at positions 355 to 776 of the family's 1533-position model. Lineage: Bacteria; Bacillati; Chloroflexota. The record is from RNAcentral.